AGCGAACGCUGGCGGCAGGCCUAACACAUGCAAGUCGAACGGACCCUUCGGGGUUAGUGGCGGACGGGUGAGUAACACGUGGGAACGUGCCUUUAGGUUCUGAAUAGCUCCUGGAAUCGGGUGGUAAUGCCGAAUGUGCCCUACGGGGGAAAGAUUUAUCGCCUUUAGAGCGGCCCGCGUCUGAUUAGCUAGUUGGUGAG
RNAcentral lists this ribosomal RNA (200 nucleotides) under uncultured bacterium. Its description in RNAcentral is "partial 16S ribosomal RNA". It matches the Rfam family "Bacterial small subunit ribosomal RNA", at positions 29 to 256 of the family's 1533-position model. The record is from RNAcentral.